GACGAACGCUGGCGGCGUGCUUAACACAUGCAAGUCGAACGGAAAGGCCCUGCUUUUGUGGGGUGCUCGAGUGGCGAACGGGUGAGUAACACGUGAGUAACCUGCCCUUGACUUUGGGAUAACUUCAGGAAACUGGGGCUAAUACCGGAUAGGAGCUCCUGCUGCAUGGUGGGGGUUGGAAAGUUUCGGCGGUUGGGGAUUGACUCGCGGCUUAUCAGCUUGUUGGUGGGGUAGUGGCUUACCAAGGCUUUGACGGGUAGCCGGCCUGAGAGGGUGACCGGCCACAUUGGGACUGAGAUACGGCCCAGACUCCUACGGGAGGCAACAGUGGGGAAUAUUGCACAAUGGGCGGAAGCCUGAUGCAGCAACGCCGGGUGCGGGAUGACGGCCUUCGGGUUGUAAACCGCUUUCGCCUGUGACGAAGCGUGAGUGACGGUAAUGGGUAAAGAAGCACCGGCUAACUACGUG
RNAcentral lists this ribosomal RNA (468 nucleotides) under uncultured bacterium. Its description in RNAcentral is "partial 16S ribosomal RNA". It matches the Rfam family "Bacterial small subunit ribosomal RNA", at positions 28 to 507 of the family's 1533-position model. The record is from RNAcentral.